UAUGUCCUCUUCGUGGUGACUUUUCCUCAAAACAUGCAACAGGGUUCAGGAUCAAAGACCCAAGUCACUUGGGAAGAUCAGCAGAAUAUUAACAAGUUCAGUAAACUUAAUAAUCGAUUUCAUGAGCUUGAAGAUGAGAUUAAAUUCGCCAAGUUGAUGUAAUUCGAAUGCGUGAGAAGAUGAGGGUGCACCUGUCAGUGCCGAGCUCAUUGAAGUAAGGAACUUGGAUUUUGAUCUAGGGUUUGAAAGAUUAGUCACUUUU
This is a long non-coding RNA of Beta vulgaris subsp. vulgaris (sugar beet), 262 nucleotides long. RefSeq lists it as uncharacterized. The record is from RefSeq and is a predicted model, not a curated record. NCBI's taxonomy places the organism in Eukaryota, Viridiplantae, Streptophyta, Magnoliopsida, Caryophyllales, Amaranthaceae. The transcript has 3 exons.